GAUGAAGAACGCAGCGAAAUGCGAUACUUGGUGUGAAUUGCAGAAUCCCGUGAACCAUCGAGUCUUUGAACGCAAGUUGCGCCCGAAGCCAUCAGGUUGAGGGCACGUCUGCCUGGGCGUCACAUAUCGUUGCCCAAUGCCUAUUGCAGUGCAAUAGGAAUUUCUAGGGCGAAUGAUGGCUUCCCGUGAGCGUUGUUGCCUCGCGGUUGGUUGAAAAUCGAGUCCUUGGUAGGGUGUGCCAUGGUAGAUGGUGGUCGAGUUAGAACGAUACCGAUCAUGUGCAUGCUCCCCACAAUAUGGCCUCUAUGACCCACACGCGUCUUUUGACGCUCAUGACGAGACCUCAGGUCAGGCGGGGCUACCCGCUGAAUUUAAGCAUAUCAAUAAGCGGAGGA
RNAcentral lists this unclassified non-coding RNA (395 nucleotides) under soil metagenome. RNAcentral's name for it is "partial contains 5.8S ribosomal RNA, internal transcribed spacer 2, and large subunit ribosomal RNA". The stretch from base 1 to 122 matches the Rfam family "5.8S ribosomal RNA", at positions 35 to 154 of the family's 154-position model. The record is from RNAcentral.